GGAAUAUUGGACAAUGGGGGAAACCCUGAUCCAGCGACGCCGCGUGGGUGAUGAAGGCCUUCGGGUUGUAAAGCCCUUUCGACGGGGACGAUGAUGACGGUACCCGGCGAAGAAGCACCGGCUAACUCCGUGCCCGCAGCCGCGGUAAGACGGAGGGUGCUAGCGUUGUUCGGAAUCACUGGGCGUAAAGGGCGCGUAGGCGGGAUGGCAAGUCAGUCGUGAAAUCUCUCGGCUCAACCGAGAAACGUCGGCUGAUACUGCCGUUCUUGAGGGAUGCAGAGGAGACUGGAAUUCCCGGUGUAGCGGUGAAAUGUGUAGAGAUCGGGAGGAACACCGGUGGCGAAGGCGGGUCUCUGGGCAUUUCCUGACGCUGAGGCGCGAAAGCGUGGGGAGCA
Molecule: ribosomal RNA, 395 nt
Filed under: uncultured bacterium
Lineage: Bacteria
Description: bacterial SSU rRNA
Rfam family: Bacterial small subunit ribosomal RNA
Source: RNAcentral